GAUGAACGCUGGCGGCGUGCCUAACACAUGCAAGUCGAACGGAGUCCAGCCUUAAAGACCUUCGGGUCAAAGAGGGGAAGACUGAGUGGCGGACGGGUGAGUAACACGUGGGCAACCUGGCUCAUAGAGGGGGAUAACAGAGAGAAAUUUCUGCUAAUACCGCAUAAGCACACACUGCCGCAUGGCAGAGGGUGAAAAGAGAAUCGCUAUGAGAUGGACCCGCGUCUGAUUAGCCAGUUGGCAGGGUAAGAGCCUACCAAAGCGACGAUCAGUAGCCGAUCUGAGAGGAUGAACGGCUACAUUGGGACUGAGACACGGCCCAAACUCCUACGGGAGGGAGCAGUGGGGGAUAUUGCACAAUGGGGGGAACCCUGAUGCAGCGACGCCGCGUGAGUGAAGAAGUAUUUCGGUAUGUAAAGCUCUAUCAGCAGGGAAGAUAAUGACAGUACCGGAAUAAGAAGCCCCGGCUAACUACGUG
Molecule: ribosomal RNA, 478 nt
Filed under: uncultured bacterium
Lineage: Bacteria
Description: partial 16S ribosomal RNA
Rfam family: Bacterial small subunit ribosomal RNA
Source: RNAcentral